CGCACGGUGGAUGCCUGGGCAUCAGGAGCCGAUGAAGGACGUAGGAGGCUGCGAUAAGCCUCGGGGAGCUGUCAACCGAGCUGUGAUCCGAGGAUUUCCGAAUGGGGAAACCCAGCACGAGUCAUGUCGUGUUACCCGCAUCUGAAUACAUAGGGUGUGUGGAGGGAACGUGGGGAAGUGAAACAUCUCAGUACCCACAGGAAAAGAAAACAACAGUGAUUCCGUGAGUAGUGGCGAGCGAAAGCGGAUGUAGGCUAAACCGUGUACGUGUCAAGCCGGCAGGCGUUGCGUGUGCGGGGUUGUGGGACCAUGAUUGUCAGUUCUGCCGAUCUGACGGGAAGUCAUAAAGUCGCGUGUUAGUCGAACGGUUUUGGAAAAGCCGACCGUAGUGGGUGAGAGUCCCGUAGACGAAAGCAUGUGGCCUUCCUUUUGUGGAUCCCGAGUAGCAGCGAGCUCGUGAAAUUUGCUGUGAAUCUGGCGGGACCACCCGCUAAGCCUAAAUACUACCUGAUGACCGAUAGCGGACUAGUACCGUGAGGGAAAGGUGAAAAGAACCGGGAAUACCGGAGUGAAAAGAACCUGAAACCGUGUGCUUACAAGCAGUUAGAGGCCUUUAGUGGGCUGAUAGCGUGCCUUUUGCAUAAUGAGCCUACGAGUUACUCCUCCCCGGCAAGGUUAAGUACUUUAAGGUACGGAGGCGCAGCGAAAGCGAGUCUGAACAGGGCGCGCAG
RNAcentral lists this ribosomal RNA (731 nucleotides) under Rhodella violacea. RNAcentral describes it as "partial Bacterial large subunit ribosomal RNA". It matches the Rfam family "Bacterial large subunit ribosomal RNA", at positions 18 to 699 of the family's 2925-position model. The record is from RNAcentral. Lineage: Eukaryota; Rhodophyta; Rhodellophyceae; Rhodellales; Rhodellaceae.